UGAAAAUUGGAAGGGGACAUGCAAGGCCAUACUCCCACCCCUCGGUGACUCUCAAUGUUUUGUCUGUGGUUUUUACCAUCAUUCUCAACUCUUUCCACUGCUCACAACAACGUUUGAACUGCCAAACCCAGGGGUAAUCCUCUUUCAACAGCCUCUGGAGAAAUCCCAGAGUUUAUUCUCACAGGAUAGAAAACUUAAGCUUUCAUUCACAAAUAAUAUAAAGUAAAAGGUAUGCUUUCCGUUACCAACAGGAAAUUUUCACAGACUUUUAGGGUCAUUUAGAUAAAACUUCCAUUUCAACGUGUAACACCUUAUAGUCAGCGUGGUAGAAUAAACUGCAAUAAACAUGAAGUAACCAGACUAGUUAGCAAUCACCCGCAGACACACACCUGUCUCCUCCAUAAGCUGUUAGACUUCAACAGGACACAAAAACAAGCCCUUGAAAAACCCGUGGCCCUUUACGAUUUAAGCUGAUGAUGAUCUUUCCUAGCAGAAACUCAACAGAUGAGACAACAAGCCGGAGAUAUGCUCAAAAAUAAAAACCAGUAUUUGGUGAAGAUCAAGGCACAGCUCACAAUGUCUGAUCAAAGGUGUC
This 595-nucleotide long non-coding RNA is filed under the name Homo sapiens (human). RNAcentral's name for it is "long non-coding RNA NONHSAT186640". Lineage: Eukaryota; Metazoa; Chordata; Mammalia; Primates; Hominidae. The record is from RNAcentral.